UGAGGACCAUUGUGUGGAUCCAUGGUGAUU
This 30-nucleotide non-coding RNA is filed under the name Homo sapiens (human). Lineage: Eukaryota; Metazoa; Chordata; Mammalia; Primates; Hominidae. The record is from RNAcentral.